GGAUGGUAAGGAAGCUACGUGUGUGUGUUGGGGGGGGGGGGGUUCAGGGCCUCCUGGGGAUUUUUUUUCUCGCAAAACCAUUUAGUCCCGGUUGAGCGACGGACUAAAGACCCCCUUUCAUCUCGAUUACUUUAUCCCAGAUGGAUUUUCGGGAGAUUGCCCCCUGCCAACUGGGACUAAAGGCAAGUUUUGUACCAGUGUGUAGUGAGAAUAAAGACCUCACCCUGCUUGUUCAUUUUUGCCUUAAUUUCAGAAUAAAGACCUCACCCUGCUUGUUCAUUUUUGCCUUAAUUUCCAAAAUGGAUCCAUGCUACAGUACCCUAGAUUAUGCAAAACUUAUGAAGUCUAAGCCAGUACAAACCUCCAAUGGGGCCAUUAUUUUAUGUGCUGUCUACUGAAACAUGGCCCAAAUAUAAAAAACCCCUAGUUUUGUAUCCUAUAUAAAGGGAUAUACACUGUGAUACGUCUCUCUCUCUCUCUCUCUGUGUACGUGUGUGUGUUCUAAUUAAAAAGUGCAGUGUGCACAUUUUGUAGCCGUUUGAUAGAACAUAAACUUGAGGGAAAUAAAACACUGCCCUACCUUCAGUUACCAGGUACUCUCUCUCACCCUCCCUCCCUUUCUACCUAGUACUCUCUUAUUCGUUCUAGUUUGUACUCUCUCUCUCCCAUCUCUCUCUACAGGGUCAUAUCUAGAAAAAAUGUUGUGUGCACAUUUUGUAACCGGUUAGCAGUACACUAUUAGAAUAGUUGGUCUUCCAUGUACACGGUAUAACAUGUCAUAUGAUUAUGUUUGUUAAUGUUAUGUGCUUGCUUGCGUAAUGGACUAGGAACUCAGUUAGGAUAUCAACAAUCUAGGCUUAGAGAUAGAGUAGUUAACCGAGUUUCUUGUGUCUCAAGAUGUAAAUCAAACUCUUGUAUAUCUAUUCUACCAACGGCCAUAGUACCUACUCCUUCC
This 955-nucleotide long non-coding RNA is filed under the name Setaria viridis. Its description in RNAcentral is "long non-coding RNA (SVIR_LNC005862)". The record is from RNAcentral. Lineage: Eukaryota; Viridiplantae; Streptophyta; Magnoliopsida; Poales; Poaceae.